GUGGGGCCUUUUCCGGACUGACCGGUGAUGUGGAAGGGUCCAGCUCACCGUGGGCAGUGCCACUCUUGUGCAGGUGGUCCUGGAAUACGAAAAAACCAAGCUGAGCAAGUUAUGGAGACAGUUCAUUUCUCCACGGUCUCUGCAGCAACUCUCGCCUCCAGAUUCCUGUUUGAGUUCCUACCCUCAGCGAUGGAGUGAGAUUCCAGCUAGUUUCCUGUAGUCACUGGCCAUACACAGCGUGGACAACAUACAGGAUGAAGAUGGGUCUCUGUGUGACGGUUCAUGGACCCAAGAAAUUCUUCACCCAAUGAGAUGGGAGAGAAUGGGAACCUAGUCAAGACAGACAGCUUGGCAAAGCUUCUGGGAAGAAAUCUUCAGUACUGGAUGUGUGCGAGCAUGCCUUUGUUGAGGAUCCAGUGCCCCUGGAGCCGGGAAGGGUAAUAUUUUUCCUUAGGGACCACUGUAUGACUCAGCAAGUAAAGGUGCUUGCCACUUAGGCCAGUGGCCUGAGUCUGAGAGAACGAACUCAGUUGUCUCUUGACCCCUACGCUAGAGCCACCGCUCAUGGCAAUGCACACUGAGCCCCUCCAGACAUGAAAGCUGGCUCCACUCCAGGAGAGUAAAUGAAGAAGAUUUUUGCAGAGGUGCUCUACCCACCAGUGAUGCGGCCUGCACACCAGGUUCAGAAGGACGAGAGGUGGUAAAAGAUGAACGUUGACACAGGUGCCGCUCCUGGGUGGGUGAAGACGGCGCAGGAUUUAUGGAUGUGCAAAUGGCCACUGAGAAGAACAAGGCAGACGGGAAAGGCCACCUUCGGCUUGGUCCUUUAUGGAGCUGCUCUUUCACUAGCAAGGCUGUGGUUUCUGUCAGGUGAGAGGUCAACGAUGCUGUGGCCACCUCAGCCCUGCUGCUUGCCCGCUCUCCCCACUGGUCUCCUGGGUGAACUCUGAGACUCUCUCUUGGCAUCUGACAAAUGGGCUAACUGUAGCCCCUUCCUCUUGGGUUACUGUAACAGAGUAAAUGGCACAAAAUAAAAUUGCUGAUGGGAUUCUCCCAUCAGGUAAAACUAACUUUUUGACAUCAGCCAAGAA
Long non-coding RNA from Mesocricetus auratus (golden hamster), 1091 nucleotides. RefSeq lists it as uncharacterized. Lineage: Eukaryota; Metazoa; Chordata; Mammalia; Rodentia; Cricetidae. The record is from RefSeq and is a predicted model, not a curated record. The transcript has 5 exons.